RNAcentral lists this ribosomal RNA (388 nucleotides) under uncultured bacterium. RNAcentral describes it as "bacterial SSU rRNA". It matches the Rfam family "Bacterial small subunit ribosomal RNA", at positions 30 to 416 of the family's 1533-position model. The record is from RNAcentral.
AUUGAACGCUGGCGGCAUGCCUUACACAUGCAAGUCGAACGGCAGCACGGGAGCAAUCCUGGUGGCGAGUGGCGAACGGGUGAGUAAUAUAUCGGAACGUGCCCAGUCGUGGGGAUAACGUAGCGAAAGCUACGCUAAUACCGCAUACGAUCUAUGGAUGAAAGCGGGGGAUCGCAAGACCUCGCGCGAUUGGAGCGGCCGAUAUCAGAUUAGGUAGUUGGUGAGGUAAAGGCUCACCAAGCCGACGAUCUGUAGCUGGUCUGAGAGGACGACCAGCCACACUGGGACUGAGACACGGCCCAGACUCCUACGGGAGGCAGCAGUGGGGGAAUUUUUGGACAAUGGGCGGCAAGCCUGAUCCAGCAAUGCCGCGUGCAGGAUGAAGGCC